RNAcentral lists this ribosomal RNA (263 nucleotides) under uncultured Anaerolineaceae bacterium. RNAcentral's name for it is "partial 16S ribosomal RNA". It matches the Rfam family "Bacterial small subunit ribosomal RNA", at positions 1105 to 1382 of the family's 1533-position model. The record is from RNAcentral. Lineage: Bacteria; Bacillati; Chloroflexota; Anaerolineae; Anaerolineales; Anaerolineaceae.
UCGUCGUAUGUUAUAUGUGUCAUACGAGACUGCCGGUAAAAAGACCGGAGGAAGGUGAGGAUGAUGUCAAGUCAGCAUGACCUUUAUAUCCAGGCUACACACACGCUACAAUGGUCUGUACAAUGGGUAGCCAAGCCGCGAGGCGGAGCCAAUCCUGAAAGCAGGCCUCAGUUCAGAUUGCAGUCUGCAACUCGACUGCAUGAAGCCGGAGUUGCUAGUAACUGCAGGUCAGCAAUACUGCGGUGAAUACGUUCCCGGGUCUU